AAAGCGUGCGCAGGCGGUUAUGUAAGACAGAUGUGAAAUCCCCGGGCUCAACCUGGGAACUGCAGUUAGUGACUGCAUAGCUGGAGUACGGCAGAGGGGGAUGGAAUUCCGCGUGUAGCAGUGAAAUGCGUAGAUAUGCGGAGGAACACCGAUGGCGAAGGCAAUCCCCUGGGCCUGUACUGACGCUCAUGCACGAAAGCGUGGGGAGCAAACAGGAUUAGAUCCCCUGU
RNAcentral lists this ribosomal RNA (230 nucleotides) under uncultured bacterium. Its description in RNAcentral is "partial 16S ribosomal RNA". It matches the Rfam family "Bacterial small subunit ribosomal RNA", at positions 562 to 790 of the family's 1533-position model. The record is from RNAcentral.